CGGAUUAUAAGCACAAUCACCCGUAAGCGGUGCUCACACACAAAUACGCAACGCAAUUUGACAAUCCGCAUGGGAUUUAGGAAAGGCCAAAAAUAAACAAAAGAAAUUCGUACGCGAAUCCACCUGGCAUUUUGCACUUUUUUUACUUCCCCGGUGAGGAAACAAAAUAUAAAAAAUGAAAAUAGCAUGAAGGAAUCUGCUUUUAGGUGUGAGUUGUGUGGCAAGUACUAAUUAGGAGUCCUCCUGCCUCUCCCAGUGUCCAUGUGGCAUGGUGGUGUGGGCAUAUUUUGCAUGAUCGAGGCGUGGCACCGAGGUGAGACGAGUCGCUAUCAUUACUCAAAAUGGGGCCUUACUCAAAAGUUGCCCCUUAUGCCUUGGCGCUUGUAUUUUUCGUUGAGCUAAGUCCAUCACAGUGACGCUGGUGGAUCCUAAUAAAGUGGGAGAGGGAGUCUGGGAUUCUUUCAUUCCUUUCUCUUUGUAUUCAAUUUUACGAAGGUUGAUUUAUGUUCCUAUCUCUCUUACUUUAAUAUUAUUAAAGCCUAGAGGCAAGCAUCACCAAACAUCGUAGCUUGUUGAGAUUAUAG
This 584-nucleotide long non-coding RNA is filed under the name Gossypium barbadense (sea-island cotton). Its description in RNAcentral is "long non-coding RNA (GBAR_LNC000291)". The record is from RNAcentral. Lineage: Eukaryota; Viridiplantae; Streptophyta; Magnoliopsida; Malvales; Malvaceae.